AGAACGAACGCUGGCGGCAGGCCUAAAACAUGCAAGUCGAGCGCCCAGCAAUGGGAGCGGCGGACGGGUGAGUAACACGUGGGAAUGUACCUUUCGGUACGGAACAACGCAGGGAAACUUGCGCUAAUACCGUAUGCGCCCUUACGGGGAAAGAUUUAUCGCCGAAAGAUCAGCCCGCGUUGGAUUAGCUAGUUGGUGAGGUAACGGCUCACCAAGGCGACGAUCCAUAGCUGGUUUGAGAGAACGACCAGCCACACUGGGACUGAGACACGGCCCAGACUCCUACGGGAGGCAGCAGUUGGGAAUCUUGGACAAUGGGGAAACCUGAUCCAGCCAUGCCGCGUGAGUGAUGAAGGCCUUCGGGUUGUAAAACUCUUUCGACGGGGACGAUAAUGACGGUACCCGUAGAAGAAGCUCCGGCUAACUUCGUGCCAGCAGCCGC
This 442-nucleotide ribosomal RNA is filed under the name uncultured bacterium. RNAcentral describes it as "SSU rRNA". It matches the Rfam family "Bacterial small subunit ribosomal RNA", at positions 26 to 518 of the family's 1533-position model. The record is from RNAcentral.